UUCCUGUGCAGAAUAUACUAUACUUCCUACUAAUCAUGGUGAGCCAUAGUUGCUUGCCUGAAUUAGUACAAGGUAAAAAUGAAGAUACAGCUAGCAAUGCUACUGCAAAGAUCUCCUUUAUCUCUGGUUAAUGACGUUUACAUGAUAAAAAAACCCCAGCAGCUUGCAGAAACUGGACAAAACAUCUAUGUUCAAGAUGUUUAAGAGUGAUGUUGCUGACAAGCAGUUUAGCCUGGAAACUGCAAUUAAAAAUAUUGAUAAAAUGUCCAGUGAGCUGAAGAAACUAAAUGUGAAAAGCCAACUGCUGCUCUGUGACCUUACUUUGAACUUCAGUCAUCCUGUGAAGACCACAGUUUCAAGGGAGGUAGAAGAAAAGAAAACAGAUUUUGAGGAAUUACAUAAUUCCAUCAAGUUCCAUGCUGAUGCUUCCAUUAACAAUUCUUCUCUUUGAGCCAUUAAAAUUUC
RNAcentral lists this long non-coding RNA (465 nucleotides) under Gopherus agassizii (Agassiz's desert tortoise). RNAcentral describes it as "lncRNA (ENSGAGG00000008070.1)". The record is from RNAcentral. Lineage: Eukaryota; Metazoa; Chordata; Testudines; Testudinidae.